GACGAACGCUGGCGGCGUGCUUAACACAUGCAAGUCGAACGGAAAGGCCCGGCUUUUGUGGGGUUCUCGAUUGGCGAACGGGUGAGUAACACGUGAGUAACCUGCCCUUGACUUUGGGAUAACUUCAGGAAACUGGGGCUAAUACCCGAUAGGAGCUCCUGCUGCAUGGUGGGGGUUGGAAAGUUUCGGCGGUUGGGGAUGGACUCGCGGCUUAUCAGCUUGUUGGUGGGGUAGUUGCUGACCAAGGCUUUGACGGGUAGCCGGCCUGAGAGGGUGACCGGGCACAUUAGGACUGAGAGAGGGAGCAGACUCCUACGGGAGGCAGCAGUGGAGAAUAUUGCACAAUGAGCGGAAGCCUGAUGCAGAAACGCCGCGUGCGGGAUGACGGCCUUCGGGUUGUAAACCGCUUUCGCCUGUGACGAAGCGUGAGUGACGGUAAUGGGUAAAGAAGCACCGGCUAACUACGUG
Molecule: ribosomal RNA, 468 nt
Filed under: uncultured bacterium
Lineage: Bacteria
Description: partial 16S ribosomal RNA
Rfam family: Bacterial small subunit ribosomal RNA
Source: RNAcentral